Molecule: long non-coding RNA, 431 nt
Filed under: Phoenix dactylifera (date palm)
Lineage: Eukaryota; Viridiplantae; Streptophyta; Magnoliopsida; Arecales; Arecaceae
Description: long non-coding RNA (PDAC_LNC007966)
Source: RNAcentral
GUGAUACCCUUCCUUCGCGAAGAAGAAUCUCGAGAUCUCCUUGCUAGGUUCUUCGAGGGUGGCUGCCAGAGACUGGAAUAGCACAUCAACUUCUUGCGAGGAGAUGUUCUCCUAUCAACUUCUUGCAAGGAAAGCUCCUCUUGGCUAGAUCUCGUAAGCCUUAAACUCUCCUCAAGAUCUCAUUUCAUGUUGCUCUGUUUCGAAGAUAUCUUGUGUUUGAGUGUAAAUUUCCACGAUAGCGACAACGAUGCACACCGAGAUCAAUCGGAGGAAGCAGGGUAAGCUAGACAUCAUCAAAAUCUGGUGAACUUCUCAUCGGCUGCUCUUCAUCAAAAUCUACUAUGGCUCUCUCCCCCGCCUCUCCCUCUUCUUCUUCCUCACCUCCGGACGAUCAGGGAUUGCCCCAGCAAACCAACCUCAAGGCUUCUAAG